UAUUUAAGGUGCUGUUCAUAACCUGCACGCACCGUUACAGUGAGGAGGUGUCCACAGUGCGGGUAAGGCUGGUGCACUACGGGCCUGUGCAGUAGGAAAGAAAGCCUUGUCGGGAACCAUGGGGCCCACGUGGCCGCUUACCGGGUUGCGCUCCCACAGUGCCGAUCGGUGAUGCGUCUGGUGUUACACACCGGUUCCUGUCCGGCAGCUCGAUUCACUCUGUGAACUGCAGCGCCGCUUCGGAACUAGAGCAAAGGGGCUGCGGUUCGAUUCCUGCUCAAGCACUGCCGCUACGGCUGUGAGGGCCACCCGCCAGAACUAGGCCUCCGACUGGGUGUGCAGAAAAACUCGCUCCUCUUCUCAGUUCAGGAAGGAAAUAUAUUGUUUACAGUCUGUGAAAAUAGCAGAACCUGAGAGAGAUUAGAAUUUGCACACUAUGAGGAACUGAAUGUUAAACCUAUUUCACAAUCAUCCUGCAAUGAACAGCCAGGGGAACCAGACCAGGACUGGAUACUGCCAACUACACAAAAAUAGAACAAACAGUGUUUCUGGCAGAGCAUGACUCAACAAAGCAGAGGUACACACUAAAAGCCAUAAUACAGGUGAAUAUUCAUCACUGAGGAUUCUAAAGAAAGGAUGAACACAGAAACAUCCCCACCAGGGGCGUAACUACAGAGGAAGCAGACACUGCGGAUGCAGGGGGGGGGCAGGAGGUAUAGGGGCCCCUUAAGGUCCUAAUUCAUGUACAAUUUCAAUACAUAUUGGGAAAACAGGUCAACCUCUAGACAUUUUGGGGUCCUAAAAAAUAAUUUGCUGUGGAGUCCAUUAAUAUCUAUUUACGCCACUUAUCCCCACACUGAUUUUAUUCAUAGCAAACUCUUUUGUGUCGAAUUGAAGCAAAAUUUCCAUUUUUACAAUUGAAAUUCAGCUCUUCUAGUGCAGAGAACACAAUUUCACUCUAGGCACUAGUGAAGCGGCUCUAGACCCAUUCCAACAAAAAGGAGGGGGGCAACAAGUUUAUGGGAUGUGGUUAUAACCCUCAAAUGGUCCCUUCAGAAUGCAUGCUUUCUAAAGCACUAUAUGCACUAUAAAAAUAAAUUGGUUCAGUUGAAUAAUACAAUUCCUUAGGAUGCUAUUAAACAACUUACAGCAUUCUCCAUCUGGCGAAAGAGGGCUCAAAAGAUUGUGAUAUAUAAUAAACAUAACUCUGUCGAUGAGACCUUAAAUCAUUAAAAAAAUGGUCACAAAUAGAAAAUAGAA
This is a long non-coding RNA of Xenopus laevis (African clawed frog), 1260 nucleotides long. RefSeq lists it as uncharacterized. The transcript has 3 exons. NCBI's taxonomy places the organism in Eukaryota, Metazoa, Chordata, Amphibia, Anura, Pipidae. The record is from RefSeq and is a predicted model, not a curated record.